Megalopta genalis is the source of this 1019-nucleotide long non-coding RNA. RefSeq lists it as uncharacterized. NCBI's taxonomy places the organism in Eukaryota, Metazoa, Arthropoda, Insecta, Hymenoptera, Halictidae. The record is from RefSeq and is a predicted model, not a curated record.
UGAAGCCAAGGAACAACAUGCAAUCAAUUAAAAGGGAUGCCGUACGAACAUGUCAUCUGUUUACAUUGUACAAAAAAUAUACAAAUUAAAAAAACAUACCUUAGCUACUAUAAGAGCAGACUGAAUUAGCCUACAAUUGGAUCAACCUGUAUAAGAGUAAGAUUAAAAUAAACUCCUUAAGGUUAGUAGUAGGACAAAUAGGGUCACCUUGUAAGGUUCAUACAAUAAGUAAUCCAUAAACAACAGAGCACAAACACUAUGAGCAUGACUACUAUUGUGCAAAAAUGUAACAAAAAAAAAAAAGUAUCACAAUGAACAUGUCUAUAUAGAUCGUUCGACGAACUGGCAUGUAAAUAAAAAUCUCGUGCAAAGACAACGACUAUUAAGUUACAAUUUUAUGUGAGAAAAACUCAUUGUACCUUGGCAGCAUCGAAAAUCUUUUGGACAGCGGCAGAGAUUUCCGGUCCGAUACCAUCCCCAGGAAUCAGAGUACAUUUGUGAACUUUACUGCUGUAGAGACGGACACUGCCAAUUUUCGGAACCUGUUAAUAAAAUGUUCGUAUAAUUCACGGUUAUCAAAAUGGACAUGGCAUUGAUAACAUUUUAUUUCAUAAAAUAGGCUGGCAGAAACAUAGAAAUGUAUCGAUAUUACCAAAUCUAAGAGGAAAAACGUAUAAAAACUGGGUUAUGUGGAAGACAUGGAUUGUCGCAAGGAUUUCUCAAUAUGUUCAUAACUUACUGCGGUUCGUAUCCACUGGGCUGCCAUUAUUUUAAAGAAUUUUGCAAGAAAAAAAAUGAACCUCCACCACCUAAAGUUACGUACGUCAGAGGAAUACCAAAAACCGAGGUGAGAAAAACGGUCUUCGAUCGUGAUUGGUUCCUGCGAGACAAUGUCUUCUGCUAUUCAGAAACCGGAAGGUAGCAAACACAUGUAUAGAAGAGCGAGUGGAUCUAUAUUUACAGAUAUUUGUACAAUUAUAAAAAAAUUUGAAAAUAAAAAUUUAAUUUUAGAUUAACAA